GCACAACACGGGGCCAGACACACGGAAAGGGCCCCAAGGGUCAGCCCCCGGGCUGCCCUCCACGCAGACCCCACAGGGUCUCCUCGUCGCCCCCCCGACCUCCGCGCGCGUGCGCACAAGCUGCUAGAGGGAGCGGCGGGCAGCGGACGGCGGGAAAAGGAGACUUACCUCGGUAUUCCUCCAUACGCCCCCCUUGAUCAUAAUUCGAGGCAUCUUGGCGGCAGGGUGUCUCGGCAAGCAGCCGAGAGGAGCUUCAGAGAAGUAGUAACAGCGAUUGGGCCACCGGACUCAAAGCCGCCACUUCCUCCAAGCGCGACCUUCUGCUUUGAAGAUCUGCGCAAGCGCAAGGUCUUCGAGAUUUUAACACUGGAGCAUAGAGGAGGUCAGUCUCUACUGACUGCUGAACAUCCAACACGUGACACCCAGGAGUUGUCUACCACCAUGUUUUGGACUAAGGGAAAAAAGCAGGUGGAUUGUUGCAUUUGCAGAUUUAACAUUCUUAAAUUUCCAAGCACAAUUACUACACUAUUUAAAGAUAUGAACAACUUUGAUGACAGUAAUGGAGCAGUACAAAACUGAUUCAUCAAAUAACUUGGGAAAAAACCUACAAUUUUUAUUAAUAGAUGAUAGAUAAUAACAUUUCUAUUCAUAGAUAAUAAUUCCAGCCAUAAUGAAGUAGCGGGGAUCAGAUUUACUCUCCUGACUUAAACAAGUAGAAAACUGGACAAAAUGUAUGAAAUAACAAUUUUCAGAAUGAGACAACAGGCAGCACAGGAUUGUGAUCCUAAAGAAAAGGAAAGCAAAUGAAGAGAUUCCUGUAAUCACCCAGCUUUGCCUGGAGGCACAUUCAAGACCACAGCGUAGGAUGAGCAACCCCACACAGAGCAUGGCAUUCUCUAUGAGUUUGAGGAGCCGAAGAUCCAAGUUCAGAGAGUCUUGGAGGACUGGAAGCUGCAGGGCAGAGUUCUGGGGAAGAAGGAACUUUACAAAAAAAUGAAAGUAAGAAAUUUACACAGCACUUCCUUUGAGUCUUUGCUGAAUAUUAAGACACACAUGUGUAGGGUAGAACUCCAAAAGAUCAGACAAUAGAGUGACUGGGAACUGAAUGGGCUCACAAAGGGCUAAAAAUCAUUUUAGUUCCCACCAACUAAAGUGAAGACUCCUCACUGAUCACUCAAGGUAUUCUGCAGAGACUCUAAAAGGGCCACAUCUUACUUAGUAAUGGAGUUAAACUAUCCCUAAAGACUGCUUUAGACACGCCCUAACAAAGCUUGAAAACAAGCCUCAAACCAAACUGCAAGUGACUUAACUGCCUGCUACAGCAAAGACCAGCACUCUUUAAAAGAAGACCACAAGGCCUGUUGCGGUGGCUCACGCCUGUAAUCCCAGCACUUUGGGAGCCCAAGGCAGGUGGAUCACGAAGUCAAGAGAUUGAAACCAGCCUGGUCAAC
This 1451-nucleotide long non-coding RNA is filed under the name Homo sapiens (human). RNAcentral's name for it is "HSALNT0106580". Lineage: Eukaryota; Metazoa; Chordata; Mammalia; Primates; Hominidae. The record is from RNAcentral.